GGUAAUCAAAACUUCACGGGUUUGAUCCUGGAUCAGUCCGUUUUGAGAAGUGAGCUGCUCGUAUUCUUACUAUUUUAGAAUAAAAACAUACAUUUGAUUUCAGUCUGUAACAGCCGGUGUAAUUUAUGAUACUUGCAAAGCUUUUUUUUUUUUUUUUUUUAAUUCACUUUUCAUUCUCGCAGUCGCAUUCAGAAUCAAUCCAUACAACCCCAUCUGACACAGCUGUUUUCACAUAAAGACGCGCUAUAGCUCUGCAGUGUACCACGAUGCAUACUACCACCCCCACC
Long non-coding RNA from Erpetoichthys calabaricus (reedfish), 287 nucleotides. RefSeq lists it as uncharacterized. The transcript has 2 exons. Lineage: Eukaryota; Metazoa; Chordata; Cladistia; Polypteriformes; Polypteridae. The record is from RefSeq and is a predicted model, not a curated record.